ACUCAAAUGAAUAGACGGGCACCCGCACAAGCGGUGGAGCAUGCUGUUUAAUUCGAAGAUACGCGAAGAACCUUACCUAGACUUGACAUCCCCGGCGAAGCUAUAGAAAUAUAGUGGAGGUUACCCGGGUGACAGGUGGUGCAUGGUUGUCGUCAGCUCGUGUCGUGAGAUGUUCGGUUAAGUCCGAUAACGAGCGCAACCCUCGUCACUAGUUACUAACAUUAAGUUGAGGACUUUAGUGAGACUGCCGGUGAUAAACCGGAGGAAGGUGGGGAUGACGUCAAAUCAUCAUGCCCCUUAUGUCUAGGGCUACAGGCGUGCUACAAUGGCCAUUACAAUGAGAUGCAAUAUCGCAAGAUGGAGCAAAUCUUUAAAGAUGGUCCCAGUUCGGAUUGGAGUCUGCAACUCGACUCCAUGAAGUUGGAAUCGCUAGUAAUCCUAAAUCAGAAUGUUAGGGUGAAUACGUUCCCGGGUGUUGUACACACCGCCCGU
This 492-nucleotide ribosomal RNA is filed under the name uncultured bacterium. RNAcentral describes it as "bacterial SSU rRNA". It matches the Rfam family "Bacterial small subunit ribosomal RNA", at positions 899 to 1397 of the family's 1533-position model. The record is from RNAcentral.